AAACGACUCUCGGCAACGGAUAUCUCGGCUCUCGCAUCGAUGAAGAACGUAUCGAAAUGCGAUACUUGGUGUGAAUUGCAGAAUCCCGUGAACCAUCGAGUCUUUGAACGCAAGUUGCGCCCUAAGCCUUCUGGCCGAGGGCACGUCUGCCUGGGUGUCACAA
RNAcentral lists this ribosomal RNA (163 nucleotides) under Noccaea trinervia. RNAcentral describes it as "5.8S ribosomal RNA". It matches the Rfam family "5.8S ribosomal RNA". Rfam says of the family: 5.8S ribosomal RNA (5.8S rRNA) is a component of the large subunit of the eukaryotic ribosome. It is transcribed by RNA polymerase I as part of the 45S precursor that also contains 18S and 28S rRNA. Lineage: Eukaryota; Viridiplantae; Streptophyta; Magnoliopsida; Brassicales; Brassicaceae. The record is from RNAcentral.